ACAAACAAAAGACACACGCUUUGGAGCACAAUCCCGAGUAUCAAAGAAUUUUCAGUUUCCCUUUAGCCAUGGAAGUCUUUGCAAGCUCCAGUUGACACUGAGCUUUUUGCGUCCCAGUCAGUCCAAAGCAAGAGGAGGACGAGCCUAAGGUGACAGCAAAGUAAAGGUAAAUUGUGCAAAGAAAGGUCAAGAGGGCAAGUGCUGUCAGGAGGAAGCGAUGCCGCUGCACGAGAGUCGACCAACUACCCAACUCAUUUGGAAAGGACUUUCGGAUUGAUGGUGACCUCCUGUGAGGAGAUGACAAUACACUGUCAAGAACCAUGUCGCAUGAUCCAACUUCCUCAGUCAGCAAAAAUCAAAACACCGGGAAUAACCCAACGCGAGAAUGAAGAAGAUAAAUUAAACUGAAGGAGCUGAAAGGAGAUUAUUGUGGUUCUUAUCUGUUUCGACACGCCUCGGCUCCGGGAAAAGAGAUGCCCGAAAGGCCUUCCACGCG
Molecule: unclassified non-coding RNA, 496 nt
Filed under: Hevea brasiliensis (rubber tree)
Lineage: Eukaryota; Viridiplantae; Streptophyta; Magnoliopsida; Malpighiales; Euphorbiaceae
Source: RNAcentral